UACGGGGGGAGCAAGCGUUGUUCGGAUUUACUGGGCGUAAAGGGCGCGUAGGCGGCGCAACAAGUCACUUGUGAAAUCUCCGGGCUUAACCCGGAGCGGCCAAGUGAUACUGUCGUGCUAGAGUGCGGAAGGGGCUACUGGAAUUCUCGGUGUAGCGGUGAAAUGCGUAGAUAUCGGGAGGAACACCAGUGGCGAAGGCGGCUUCCUGGACCUUUGCUGACGCUAAGGCGCGAAAGCGUGGGUAGCGAUCCGG
This 253-nucleotide ribosomal RNA is filed under the name uncultured bacterium. Its description in RNAcentral is "partial 16S ribosomal RNA". It matches the Rfam family "Bacterial small subunit ribosomal RNA", at positions 524 to 776 of the family's 1533-position model. The record is from RNAcentral.